RNAcentral lists this ribosomal RNA (460 nucleotides) under uncultured bacterium. RNAcentral describes it as "partial 16S ribosomal RNA". It matches the Rfam family "Bacterial small subunit ribosomal RNA", at positions 338 to 795 of the family's 1533-position model. The record is from RNAcentral.
CCUACGGGAGGCAGCAGUGAGGAAUAUUGGUCAAUGGACGAGAGUCUGAACCAGCCAAGUAGCGUGAAGGAUGACUGCCCUAUGGGUUGUAAACUUCUUUUAUAUGGGAAUAAAACGUUCCACGUGUGGGAUUUUGUAUGUACCAUAUGAAUAAGGAUCGGCUAACUCCGUGCCAGCAGCCGCGGUAAUACGGAGGAUCCGAGCGUUAUCCGGAUUUAUUGGGUUUAAAGGGAGCGUAGGUGGAUUGUUAAGUCAGUUGUGAAAGUUUGCGGCUCAACCGUAAAAUUGCAGUUGAAACUGGCAGUCUUGAGUACAGUAGAGGUGGGCGGAAUUCGUGGUGUAGCGGUGAAAUGCUUAGAUAUCACGAAGAACUCCGAUUGCGAAGGCAGUUCACUGGACUGCAACUGACACUGAGGCUCGAAAGUGUGGGUAUCAAACAGGAUUAGAUACCCGAGUAGUU